AGAUUUGGGGGAUGAGUUUUUAACUCAAUGCUCUCAUUCAAACCCUAAAUCCCCAACCCCAACCUAGCCCCUAGACCCAACCUUCAGCCAAUCCAAUCCGACGGCCUCCCGAUGUGAAUCUCCCUUCGGCGCCAACAAACCCCAAAUUCAAUUUGGUUUGAAAUUUGCUCUCAAAAUUGAAAGUAUGUUAUCAUAUUCCCAAUCUUUUUAUGAUUUUCUUUGAUGAGAUUGAUUAAUAUGUUGAUUAGUUUGAAUGAAUUAGAGUUUUUAAUUAAUAAAAAUAUGUUAGUUUGUAUGUCUAAUAUGAUGGGUUUUAUAUUUUCCCUCAUAUUGAAAGUAUGUUAUCCUAAUUUCUAAUCUCUUUAUUAUGCUUUAAUUGAUUAAUAAAUAUUCUUGUACGUUUUUAUUCUUCUUGAUUAGUUGUUGUUGUUGAUUGCAUUUAUUAGAAAUUUUUGAUUAUAUUGUUUUUUUUUGUGUGUUUGUUAAUUAAUGGAGAUUCUUGUAUAAAUUGGUUUAAUUUAUUAGUUGUUGCUGUUUAUUGAAUAAAUUGAAUAAAUUGAAUUAUUUUUGUGUUUGUUAAUUAAUGAAGAUUCUUAUAUAUUUUGGUUAGUUAGAAUAAAUGUUGGCAAUUUGGAUUAUUAAUUAGUUCAUAUUUUUUUUAAUAGAAAGUUAUGGAACGAUACUUUAAGAGAGAGCUAUGGUGAUAGUCAUGAUAAAAUAGUGGGAGUAGAAGUGGUGAAAUCAUAUAUACUGAGAAUAAAAAUAAUAUAUCUAUCAAAAUCUCUGGGGGAAACAAAGAUUUGUCAUGGCCUAAAAAUAGUCUAUUAUCAAAUGAAAUCCACCACUUUUCGUAUUUCCUUUAAAAUCAAUGAAUUUUUUAAUACACCCAAACUUUUAUAAAUUCUUUUAAAGUCAUGAUUGAAUACAUCUAAAUUUGAAUGGAGUUUAAAAAGUCUAAAUUGAAUAGACUUUUAUAAAAUCAUGAUUGAAUACACCUAAACUUUUAAACUUCUUUAAAAUCUUUUAAAAUCUAAAUUAAAUACACCCCCUAAAUGUCGUAUUGCUAUAUAUUUUAGUGUUAAAGCUUGUCAAGGUCUACAAAAAGUAUACGGUCCACUCAUCUCAUAUUCCCAAUAUAUAGAUUAAAAUUGUUUUGGCAUGUUGCCAUUUGUAGGACCUAUAAUGCGCUAAAAUUGGACAAAAUGAAGCUCUUGUUGUGGAGGAGAACCAUUCAACAUCGCUUGGUAAAGUGACAAGUUUGAAUUGACUUCAACUGGGAUCAUGAAAUGUAUCAUCUUCCACCAAAUGAAUAAUAAUGACGAUGCAGCUAGGUAUUUUAAUUAAAUUCUAUUUUCUUUUAUGCAAGUGAAUAUUUGGGAGGGGAGAAUCAAAUCUAUAACCUUGGAUGUAGGAAUAACUGCUUUUAACCACUUAAGCUGCAAGACCCUUACUUUAAUUAAAUUCUUAUGUUCUUUUAUACAAUUGAUAUUGAGAAAAUGAGGGAUCAAAUUU
Molecule: long non-coding RNA, 1512 nt
Filed under: Prunus persica (peach)
Lineage: Eukaryota; Viridiplantae; Streptophyta; Magnoliopsida; Rosales; Rosaceae
Description: long non-coding RNA (PPER_LNC006848)
Source: RNAcentral